UUGCAAACCAAAGCUGGCGACCGGCGCACGGGUGAGUAACACGUAUCCAACCUGCCUCAUACUCGGGGAUAGCCUUUCGAAAGAAAGAUUAAUAUCCGAUAGCAUAUAUUUCCCGCAUGGGUUUUAUAUUAAAGAAAUUCGGUAUGAGAUGGGGAUGCGUUCCAUUAGUUUGUUGGGGGGUAACGGCCCACCAAGACUACGAUGGAUAGGGGUUCUGAGAGGAAGGUCCCCCACAUUGGAACUGAGACACGGUCCAAACUCCUACGGGAGGCAGCAUG
RNAcentral lists this ribosomal RNA (278 nucleotides) under uncultured bacterium. RNAcentral describes it as "partial 16S ribosomal RNA". It matches the Rfam family "Bacterial small subunit ribosomal RNA", at positions 76 to 353 of the family's 1533-position model. The record is from RNAcentral.